GAUGAACGCUGGCGGCGUGCCUAAUACAUGCAAGUCGAGCGAACAGACGAGGAGCUUGCUCCUCUGACGUUAGCGGCGGACGGGUGAGUAACACGUGGAUAACCUACCUAUAAGACUGGGAUAACUUCGGGAAACCGGAGCUAAUACCGGAUAAUAUAUUGAACCGCAUGGUUCAAUAGUGAAAGACGGUUUUGCUGUCACUUAUAGAUGGAUCCGCGCCGCAUUAGCUAGUUGGUAAGGUAACGGCUUACCAAGGCGACGAUGCGUAGCCGACCUGAGAGGGUGAUCGGCCACACUGGAGCUGAGACACGGUCCAGACUCCUACGGGAGGCAGCAGUAGGGAAUCUUCCGCAAUAGGCGAAAGCCUGACGGAGCAACGCCGCGUGAGUGAUGAAGGUCUUCGGAUCGUAAAACUCUGUUAUUAGGGAAGAACAAAUGUGUAAGUAACUAUGCACGGCUUGACGGUACCUAAUCAGAAAGCCACGGCUAACUACGUG
Molecule: ribosomal RNA, 497 nt
Filed under: uncultured bacterium
Lineage: Bacteria
Description: partial 16S ribosomal RNA
Rfam family: Bacterial small subunit ribosomal RNA
Source: RNAcentral